Molecule: long non-coding RNA, 902 nt
Organism: Scylla paramamosain (green mud crab)
Lineage: Eukaryota; Metazoa; Arthropoda; Malacostraca; Decapoda; Portunidae
Exons: 4
Source: RefSeq, a predicted model, not a curated record
UACAUUUCAUUUCCCCUGAAGACUCAGGGCUCAGUAUUACACACAUGUAUGUGAGCCAAGCUGAUCUGUAUCAUGUUUGGCUGAACUCUGUAACAACUUUGCUGGGUCACUUAUCUGAGUGCCUGGCAAACAUUUGAGCCGUGCAGACAUCACUGCUGCUACAAGCCACUCAAGUAGUCACCAACCACUACACUUCGCAGGCAGCAGUUGGAUGAGCAAGUGAGGUAAGCUAAGAUGGAGCGACGGAGACAGGAAAAGGUGACAUUGGGAGGCAGCCUUGGGACAUCCUUCUCUGGCAGGUGUGGUGCAGGCCUGGAGAAGGUGAAGGACAAGCGAAGAGCCUCAUUAAAGGAUUGGCGAACAAAUCUUGUGGUCCAAUUCGACUGCGGUCCUCCAACUGGAUCACAAACAUCGGUUCAGGUUCAAGUGACGCCACUCACGCCGUCAGUCAGGCAACUACUGUCAUCCACAAGUAAUGGAAGGAAGAAAGAGGAGAGAGAUAGAAGACAAAGAAGGAAGAGGACAUAAGAACGAAGACAAUAGAAGAGGAAGGAAAAAAGAAGAAAUGAGAGAAAGAUAGAGGAGAGAGAAAGAUAGAAAGAUAAAGAAGAAAUAAAGGAGAAGUAUAAAGAAGAAAUAAAGGAGAAAGAUAAGAAGAGGAAGGGAAAAAAAGAAAUGAGAGAAAUCUCUCUCUCUCUCUCUCUCUCUCUCUCUCUCUCUCUCUCUCUCUCUCUCAUGCCUAGUAGAAGAACCUGGUGAGUCCCCGUCAGAAACUUGAAAACAUUUUCUGUUCCAGCGAGAGCUCGCGAAAGACUUCCCAACACGUGCGAGUGACUGGAUGGUCUGGGAAGUACUCACCCUGGAAACACAGUGAGGGAUUAAUAAAAGGAAGGAUAUUGGCA